UGAGCAAUCUGCCCUUCUCAUCGGAAUAAGCGUUGGAAACGACGUCUAAUGCCGAAUACGACCUCCUUUCGCAUGAUCGGAGGUGGAAAGUUCCGGCGGAGAAGGAUGAGCUCGCGGCCUAUCAGCUAGUUGGUGUGGGUAAUGGCCCACCAAGGCGACGACGGGUAGCCGGCCUGAGAGGGUGACCGGCCACACUGGGACUGAGACACGGCCCAGACUCCUACGGGAGGCAGCG
RNAcentral lists this ribosomal RNA (235 nucleotides) under uncultured bacterium. RNAcentral's name for it is "partial 16S ribosomal RNA". It matches the Rfam family "Bacterial small subunit ribosomal RNA", at positions 118 to 353 of the family's 1533-position model. The record is from RNAcentral.